GCAGCGACCUCAAAUUUAAAUCAUUAAAUUUGUCCAUUUUUCGAACCUCACCACAGUUCUGACCAUGCGCGCUUACGCAAGCAUAAAUAAUUUUACCCGUCGACUCGCGUUGCGCGACAAAUAAUUAAGCUUAUGUACAGGUGUGGAUCAUGAGUCAUCCUCACCUGAAAAGCCCUUUAUUAAAUUUCGCCAAUUGUUAGGCAAUCAAAAAAAUGGUUAAGCUUUCAAUUAUGAAUGUGCGAUGUUUUUCCACAGGGGAAAUUGAGGGUGUGGCUUAACCAAAUUCAUUGGCAUGUUCGUUCAAUGGAGAAUUCGACCUUCUCAUUAUUGACCAACAUUUUUGAGAAUGUUUUAGGAACAUAAUUUUGAUAUUCCAAUAACAUAAUUUAAAGUUUCACGACAAUGGUUCGAACCCAUGACUUCCGAUUUUGAAGUGUACUCACUACACCAUACGGAAAGUCAUGAAAAAUUGCAGAGGUCUGCAUAAUUUAAUUCAUGAGGUUCAUCGAUGCUUCUCAUCGAAACGGACCACUUUUAGUAGAACAAAAUUUAGUAGAGUUUUCGGGGACUGACUAUAAAAACCCCAAAAUUCUUGAGGAGGGCAAUUAGUUCGAAUUAGUUCCAGUCAGUUCCAGCCAGUUCAAGCCCAGUCCAGUUCCAGAUCCUGAAGAAGCCCCAGACCAGCCGGACCCGCCAGCAGCCACCAGUAGCAGAGGCCCCAGUCCAGCCGGACUUAGCGGUGGAGGCCGCAGUCCGCCGGGACUUAGCCGCUGUGAAGAGUCCGCCGGGACUUAGCCGCUGUGAAGAGUCCGCCGGGACUUAGCCGCUGUGAAGAGUCCGCCGAGACUUAGCCGCCGUGAAGAGUCCACCCGGGACUUAGGAGUUCGGGUCUGGCAUGGCUCGGCGAAGAGGUCUGGAGGACAAGUCUGGCUUCAACGUAGAGAAUUGGCUCGACGAAGGUCUUAAUGAAAUUAGCAACAAAUAGUUGAGUGAUGUGAUCGUGCGCGUAAAAGUUGAGAGUGUUACCGCAAAAAUGUAAUCUUUAAAAAGUGUAAUAUACAAAUAAGUGAAGUUUA
This is a long non-coding RNA of Culex pipiens pallens (northern house mosquito), 1076 nucleotides long. RefSeq lists it as uncharacterized. The record is from RefSeq and is a predicted model, not a curated record. The transcript has 2 exons. NCBI's taxonomy places the organism in Eukaryota, Metazoa, Arthropoda, Insecta, Diptera, Culicidae.